UACGUAGGCAGCAAGCGUUGUUCGGAGUUACUGGGCGUAAAGGGUGUGUAGGCGGUUCCUUAAGUUUGCUGUGAAAUCUCCCGGCUUAACCGGGAGGGUGCGGUGAAUACUGAGGGACUAGAGUACGGGAGAGGAAAGUGGAAUUCCUGGUGUAGCGGUGAAAUGCGUAGAUAUCGGGAGGAACACCUGUGGCGAAGGCGGCUUUCUGGGCCUUACCUGACGCUGAGACGCGAAAGCGUGGGGAGCGAGCCGG
Molecule: ribosomal RNA, 253 nt
Filed under: uncultured bacterium
Lineage: Bacteria
Description: partial 16S ribosomal RNA
Rfam family: Bacterial small subunit ribosomal RNA
Source: RNAcentral